GGCAGUGUGGUGCAGGGGUUAGAGUGCUGGAGUAGGACCCGGGAGACCAGGGUUCAAAUCCCUACUUGGGGGCCA
Molecule: non-coding RNA, 75 nt
Organism: Podarcis lilfordi (Lilford's wall lizard)
Lineage: Eukaryota; Metazoa; Chordata; Lepidosauria; Squamata; Lacertidae
Source: the annotation of a GenBank genome assembly